This 197-nucleotide small nucleolar RNA is filed under the name Mus musculus (house mouse). Its description in RNAcentral is "Small nucleolar RNA SNORA74". It matches the Rfam family "Small nucleolar RNA SNORA74". Rfam says of the family: U19 belongs to the H/ACA class of snoRNAs. snoRNAs bind a number of proteins (including dyskerin, Gar1p and Nop10p in the case of the H/ACA class) to form snoRNP complexes. Lineage: Eukaryota; Metazoa; Chordata; Mammalia; Rodentia; Muridae. The record is from Rfam by way of RNAcentral.
UCCAGCAGUUGUCAGCUAUCCAGGCUGUGUGGUGCCCGAGAUCGUGUGUACACUGUUGGAAGAGUAAACACUGCCUUACUAAGGGUCGGCUCCCAGCACUGUUUUGGUGUCUGGUGCUGAGUACUUUCAGGCAGUAUUGCAUCCCUGAGAGUGGAAUGACUCCUUGUGGAGUUGGUCCUGGUCUGGGUGCAAACAAU